Non-coding RNA from Nothobranchius furzeri (turquoise killifish), 2078 nucleotides. Lineage: Eukaryota; Metazoa; Chordata; Actinopteri; Cyprinodontiformes; Nothobranchiidae. The record is from RefSeq and is a predicted model, not a curated record.
GAUCUGAUUAAAGACAUGAGGAAAUAGUGAGUAAACCCCCCCCCCAUUGUUCAAGUGAAAGUUUUUUUAAAAUAAUUAUGAGAAAACUUAGCAUGAGAUUUAUGAAAGGAAACCUUUAUUUUGAAUUUACCAAACACCUGAAAACACACAUGGGUAGAAUAUUGCCCGAGGGUCCUUGGUAUCCCUUAGACUACAAAAACAUUUAAUAUUAGAAAUUAAAUUAAUGAGAAAAAUUCUGUUUCUUUUUUCUCUAAAUCCAGACUUGUUGGGACAAAAAUACACCUUAAGCUGUAUUUGCAUGAUUAUCAAGCUCAACAGCUGUACUGAUGAGAACAAUGCUGUCAGGUUACGGACAUUUCUAUUACCAAAAGUAAAACUGGAGUCAACUUUAUCAGCAAAAAGGUGAGAAAGAUGAGAAACUAUUUCCUUACAUUGCAUUUUCAUUACUUUGGCACCAAUCAGAUGUACUUAGCUAGAUGAUGUCAUAGAAGACAAUAAUAACAUACAAGGCCACCUUCCGUGGUUCUUAAACUGAGGCUUUAGAAAGUUGUUUCUCUCUUCUAUCCAACAUCUGCAAAUAAGGGUUGGGUGGUCAGACUGGUUUAUGUCUAAGACAGGGAAGUCAAACUCAAAUUCACACUGGGCCGAAAUGAAAAUCUGGGAAGAAGUCACAGGCCAAACUUAAUAUUUUUUGAAAAAGUGACUGCAAAUUUGCACAUUUUUUUUAAUCAACAUAUAUGCAAUUUUGAACCUUUUAAUUUGGAAACAAACUUAUUUUUGCAUUAAGACUGAAUGUGUAAUAACCAAAUCACACACGAGCAAGUCAAUUUUAAAUAUCAGUGGUAUUCAUUACUUGUGGUAUAUUCAGCAUUUUAAAAAUCUAUUCAGGAUUUAUGUUUUCUUGUUGUUUAUUCAUUUUUUCUUAGUUUUUAUUCUCCUUUUUUUCUCCUGUAAUAAGUGUCAUCGCUGAUGUGACAUCGAGCUGUCCCCACUGAGGAACAAUAAAGGGAUUUUCUAUUCUAUUCAUCUAUCUGCAGCCUUUCCAGUUCCUGUUUACUGUAGGUUAAAUCUUUUCUCGCAGGCCAACAACAAAAUAAAAAUAUAAUUUUAUCUUAAAUGAAAAUGCAACAUCUCACCUGUUAACUUUCAGGUUUUGGAGCAGAAAAAGAGCAUAAAACCAAAAUAUUUAAAGCUCAGUUUGCUCCACUGGUUUACUGUGAUGCUCACCUGUUCCAGCCAGAUUCCUGCAUCAUGGGGUUGAGCUCUGAGCUGAGGAGGAGACUCCUGUUGUUUUGUUCAUCUUCAUCAUAAUAAUGACGACAAUAAGUGCUCACAUAGGUUUAUGCUGGUGAACACGUCUGAGCAGCUUGACCACGUUGUUGUGUGUCGGGGAGGAAAAAUAAAAACUACAGCAGCCACAGAGUAAUGCUGAUUUGAGCAUGUCACUGCUUGCUGGAGUUAUAUCAGCUCUGUCUGGAAGUUAGUUGGAAAACUUUCUCUUUCAGUCGUGAACACAUUACUGAGUGGUUAAAAUCUCCAUUUCUGGGCUUCAACGUCAAAAAAUAGCUGAGUAAACUCGGCGCUGAGUGAGAGGAGUGUUUAGUUUGUCCGAGACAGCGGAGCUGCAGGCACCGGCAGCAGGCAUGAAAAAACACAAAGGAGGGGGCGUUUGGGCUCUGCGCCAAUGCCACAAAGCAUCAUGGGAGUUGUAGUCUUUGCGGUAAAAUCGGCCAGCAGGUCAGUUUUAAUAUAGUUUUGAUAUUUAUCUCGCGGGCCACAUAAAAAUGCUAUGCGGGCCUCAUCUGGCCCACAGGCCUUGUGUCUGACACAUGUGGUCUAAGACUUGAGGAAUCAAUCACAACUGCCUGCAGGGUGAGAUGUCACAGCUAAUACGUAGAAACAAUAUAAAACAAAUUAGGUGAUUAGCUAAAAUUAAACUCUGAGGGGCUUAGCAGGUCAAAUCAAACAGCCUGACUGGAAAUUAUAUGCAGAAAGGCUGCCAGCCCCAGAUGGUGGGUGACUUCAAUGUAGCGGGGCAAAAAAAAAAAAAAAAAAAAAAAUUCAAAUAUACAGAAUAA